This 478-nucleotide ribosomal RNA is filed under the name uncultured bacterium. RNAcentral describes it as "partial 16S ribosomal RNA". It matches the Rfam family "Bacterial small subunit ribosomal RNA", at positions 28 to 523 of the family's 1533-position model. The record is from RNAcentral.
GACGAACGCUGGCGGCGUGCUUAACACAUGCAAGUCGAACGGUAAGGCCCUUCGGGGUACACGAGUGGCGAACGGGUGAGUAACACGUGGGUGAUCUGCCCUGCACUUCGGGAUAAGCCUGGGAAACUGGGUCUAAUACCGGAUAGGACCACUGCCUGCAUGGGUGGUGGUGGAGAGCUUUUGCGGUGUGGGAUGGGCCCGCGGCCUAUCAGCUUGUUGGUGGGGUGAUGGCCUACCAAGGCGACGACGGGUAGCCGGCCGGAGAGGGUGACCGGGCACACUGGGACUGAGAGACGGCCCAGACUCCUACGGGAGGCAGCAGUGGGGAAUAUUGCACAAUGGGCGCAAGCCUGAUGCAGCGACGCCGCGUGAGGGAUGACGGCCUUCGGGUUGUAAACCUCUUUCAGCACCGACGAAGCGCAAGUGACGGUAGGUGCAGAAGAAGGACCGGCCAACUACGUGCCAGCAGCCGCGGUAA